AAUUUGCGGCCAUCUUGAGCGUGCAGAACCCCGGCGCGCUGCGCGGCUGAAGGUGGGAGUAUCCGCCGCGUUGGUCUUGGGAUCAAGCUGUGAGGGCGCCAUGGCGCCGGGCUGCAAAACUGAGUUACGCAACGUGACAAAUUGUCAGUCUAACCAAACAAGUAAUGAAGGUGAUGCCAUCAAAGUUUUUGUGCGAAUUCGUCCACUUACAGAAGGUUCUGGAUCAGCUGAUGGAGAGCAAAACUUAUGCUUAUCUGUGCUUUCCUCUACCACUCUCCGGCUACACUCCAACCCUGAGCCCAAGACCUUCACAUUUGAUCAUGUUGCAGACAUGCAAACCACUCAGGAGUCUGUGUUCUCAACUGUGGCCAAGGGCAUUGUGGAAUCUUGCAUGAGCGGUUAUAAUGGUACCAUCUUUGCAUAUGGACAAACAGGCUCAGGGAAAACAUUUACAAUGAUGGGACCAUCUGAAUCUGAUCAUUUUUCUCAUAACCUGAGAGGAGUAAUCCCACGAAGUUUUGAAUAUUUGUUUUCCUUAAUUGAUCGUGAAAAAGAGAAGGCUGGAGCUGGAAAGAGUUUCCUUUGUAAAUGCUCCUUUAUUGAAAUCUACAAUGAGCAGAUCUAUGACCUACUGGACUCUGCAUCAGCUGGUCUGUACUUAAGGGAGCACAUCAAGAAGGGAGUCUUUGUUGUUGGUGCAGUGGAGCAGGCAGUGACCUCAGCUGCUGAAGCCUAUCAGGUCCUGUCUGGAGGAUGGAGAAAUAGACGUGUAGCAUCAACAUCAAUGAAUAGAGAGUCUUCUAGGUCUCAUGCGGUCUUUACAAUUACAGUAGAGUCAAUGGAGAAAAGCAAUGAAACUGUGAAUAUACGGACCUCCUUACUCAAUCUGGUGGAUUUAGCAGGAUCUGAAAGGCAAAAAGACACCCAUGCAGAAGGGAUGAGGUUAAAGGAGGCAGGUAACAUAAACCGGUCUUUGAGCUGCCUGGGCCAAGUGAUUACUGCGCUUGUCGAUGUGGGUAAUGGGAAACAGAGGCACGUUUGCUACAGAGACUCCAAACUUACCUUCUUACUUCGGGAUUCCCUUGGCGGUAAUGCCAAAACAGCCAUAAUUGCUAACAUUCAUCCUGGAUCCAGGUGUUUUGGGGAAACCCUGUCAACGCUUAAUUUUGCUCAAAGAGCCAAGCUGAUUAAAAAUAAGGCAGUAGUAAAUGAAGACACCCAAGGAAAUGUGAGCCAGCUCCAAGCUGAAGUAAAGAGGCUCAAAGAACAGCUAGCUCAGCUUACUUCAGGGCGGUUAGUACCAGAAAGCUUUCUGACAAAAGAUAAGGAUGAGACUAAUUACAUGAAGUAUUUCCAAGAGGCAAUGUUAUUCUUUAAGAAAUCCGAACAGGAAAAGAAGUCUCUGGUAGAAAAAGUUACUCAAUUAGAAGACCUCACCCUCAAAAAAGAAAAAUUUAUUCAAUCUAAUAAAAUGAUUGUGAAAUUCCGAGAGGAUCAAAUAAUGCGCCUGGAGAAGCUCCACAAGGAAUCCCGGGGAAGUUUUCUGCCUGCAGAGCAGGAUCGCUUGUUGUCGGAAUUAAGGGACGAGAUCCAGACUCUUCGGGAACAAAUUGAGCACCACCCCAGAGUUGCCAAGUAUGCUAUGGAAAACCAUUCUCUUAGAGAGGAGAAUAGAAGAUUGAGAUUAUUAGAGCCUGUGAAAAGAGCCCAAGAAAUGGAUGCCCAGACCAUUGCUGUACUAGAGAAAGCUUUCUCCGAACUAUCUGGCACAGAGAAAAGAGGUCAACAAGGAUUUUCUCCUAAAACUCCAAAGGAGCCAUGUUCGUUAGUGAACACUGAGAAGUUGAAAGCACAACUCUUGCAAAUUCAGACAGAACUGAAUAAUUCAAAGCAAGAAUAUGAAGAAUUCAAAGAACUAACAAGGAAAAAGCAGCUAGAAUUGGAAUCAGAGCUUCAAUCUCUGCAAAAAGCAAACCUUAAUCUUGAAAACCUUUUGGAAGCAACAAAAGCCUGCAAGCGGCAAGAAGUUUCUCACCUAAAUAAAAUUCAUGCUGAAACACUUAAGAUUAUGACUACGCCAACCAAGGCUUAUCAACUUUGGUCUCGAACAGUACCAAAAUUAAGCCCUGAAGUGGGGAGCUUUGGCCCUGUGUGCACUCAGAAUUCAAGUGAGUUAGAUGAUAAUAUCUUGAAUGAGCCAAUUCCACCUGACAUGAAUGAACAAGCUUUUGAGGCCAUUUCUGAAGAGCUUAGAAUGGUGCAGGAACAGAUGAAUGCCCUUCAAGUGAAGUUGGAUGAAGAAGAGCAUAAAAACCUCAGGCUUCAACAGCACAUUGACAAACUGGAACAUCACUCUAUACAAACGCAGGAGCUUUUCUCAUCAGAAAGAACUGACUGGACCAGACAACAGCAAGAGCAUCUCUCACAAUUGAAUGUCCUUGAAAAGCAGCUUCAGGACACUCAAACUAAGAAUGACUUUUUGAAAAGUGAGGUGCAUGACCUGCGUGUAGUUCUUCAUUCUGCAGACAAGGAGCUGUCUUCCAUGAAACUGGAGUAUAGUUCGUUCAGAGAGAGUCAGGAGAAAGAACUGAGUAGCCUUUCUGAUCGACAUGCGCACACACAGCUUCAACUGGACAGCGUCAGAUUAGAAAAGGAAAAGCUUCUUGAGAGCAAAGCCUGCCUACAGGAUUCCUAUGACAACUUACAAGAAGUAAUGAAGUUUGAAAUUGACCAACUUUCAAAACACCUACAAAACUGCAAAAAAGAAAAUGAAACUCUGAAAUCUGAUCUGAAUAAUUUGGUGGAGCUUUUUGAGGCAGAAAAAGAACGCAAUAACAAAUUAUUAUUACAAUUUGAAGAAGAUAAAGAGAACAGUUCUAAAGAAAUCUUAGAAGUUCUUGAGGUUGUGCGUCAGGAGAAACAGAAAGAGAUGGCCAAGUGUGAGCAGCAGAUGGCAAAAGUACAGAAACUGGAAGAGAGCUUAUAUGCUGCAGAAAAAGUAAUCCAUUCUCUGGAGAAGUCUAGAGAUGCUGACAAGGAAGUUGUAGCUGACCUCAUGAGCCAGAUCCAGGAGCUAAGAACAUCAGUCUGUGAGAAAACAGAAACCAUAGACACCCUGAAGCAAGAACUGAAGGACAUAAGUUGCAAGUACAACUCUGCUUUGGCUGACAAGGACGAGAGCAAAGUGUUGAUUAAGCAACAGGAAGUGGAGAUUCGGGAUCUGAAAGAAGCCCUUAGACUGAGAAUACUCUCUGAGGACAUAGAGAGGGAUAUGCUCUGCGAGGACCUGGCCCAUGCCACUGAGCAGCUGAAUAUGCUCACCGAAGCGUCAAAGAAGCAUUCAGAGCUACUGCAGUCUGCCCAGGAGGAGAUGACCAGGAAGGAGGCCCUGAUCCAAGAGCUUAAGCACGAGUUGAACCAGAAGAAGGAGGAAGUAGAACAGAAAAAGAAUGAAUAUAACUUCAAAAUGAGACAGCUCGAAUACGUGAUGGAUUCUGCUGCUGAGUAUCCCCAGAGCCCUAAAACACCACCUCAUUUUCAAACACAUUUGGCAAAACUCCUGGAAACACAAGAACAAGAGAUAGAAGAUGGAAGAGCCUCUAAGAUUUCUCUGCAACACCUUGUAACAAAGCUAAAUGAAGACCGGGAAGUCAAAAAUGCUGAAAUCCUCAGAAUAAAGGAGCAGUUGUGUGAAAUGGAAAACCUACGUAAGGAAGCUGAGCAGUUGAGAGAGAGAAACUGGCUCCUGCAAAGUCAGCUGGAUGAUAUUGAAAGAAAAAAGGACAACAGGCUGCCAGAUUCAUUAAGUGAAAGAAACUACUGGAGCUUCUAUUUUCCUUCAAGAAACGAUCUUUUGCUCAUCAGUGAGAGAUAUUUCUAGAGGAGCCUGUGGCAUUCAGUGAACAGAAUCAUCCAGAUCAUCAACAGCUGAAGAAUGAACAAGAAGAAAUGAUCAAAGAAAGACUUGCUAAAAAUAAAUUAGUUGAAGAAAUGUUGAAAAUGAAAGCAAACCUAGAAGAAGUCCAGAGUGCUCUUCAGAACCAAGAGAUGGACUGCCUUAGGAUGGCUGAGGAAGUUGAACGAACUAGAACUUUGGAAUCCAAAGCGUUCCAAGAAAAGGAGCAACUGAGAUCAAAGCUAGAAGAAGUGUAUGAAGAAAAGGAGAGAAUAUUCCAGGAGAUGGAAAUGUUAAGGAAGCAGGUGGAGUGCCUUGCUGAGGAAAAUGGCAAGUUGGUCGGUCACCAGAACCUACACCAGAAGAUUCAGUACGUGGUGCGGCUGAAGAAGGAGAAUGUCCGGCUUGCUGAGGAGACAGAAAAGUUGCGUGCUGAAAAUGUAUUUUUAAAAGAAAAAAAAAAGGAAUGAAUCGUAAAGAUCUUGGUCAUCACCUUUUUGGAGACUUUCUUUCCUCUUGCAAAAGUAAGCCCUACCCUGCGCAUCUAAUAGCUGAAUUAAGGAGCACAAGUACUAACUCCAUACGUGACACUGGGGGCUGACCCCCAAGUUUCUGAUGAACGUUCUGAACCAAACUCACCCUGUAACAGUCAGCAGUCUACUAUUUUGAAGUUACCACCCCACUUCAAAGCUUUAAAUCAAUUGUAAAUACUGGGAAAACCUUUUGCCUUUUUAAAAUAAAAGCCGGUAGCUAAGGUUGACAGUGGAUGUUGGCCAGGUUAUGUUUUUUCCUUAGAUACUACCUACCAUAAUCUCCUUUGCGUCUUAUGUCAGAAGCUCUAACAAUAUGAGGUGAUUUCAUAACAUGACUGAUUGCGUAGCACGUGCGAAAGGCACACAUGUUAAUAUAGAUUAUUUUUGUAUUCUUGCAUUUUUCAAAAUUAAUAAAAUUUCUUGAAAAUAAAGUUUAAUAAAGUGAUUUAAUUGUUCA
This is an RNA transcript of Canis lupus familiaris (dog), 4885 nucleotides long. It is a transcript of the gene named kinesin family member 15, with no coding region annotated. The record is from RefSeq and is a predicted model, not a curated record. NCBI's taxonomy places the organism in Eukaryota, Metazoa, Chordata, Mammalia, Carnivora, Canidae. The transcript is spliced from 36 exons.